CCUACGGGUGGCAGCAGUGGGGGAUAUUGCACAAUGGGGGAAACCCUGAUGCAGCGACGCCGCGUGCGUGAAGAAGCCCCUCGGCGCGUAAAGCCCUGUCAGCAGGGAAGAAAAUGACGGUACCUGAAGAAGAAGCCCCGGCUAACUACGUGCCAGCAGCCGCGGUAAUACGUAGGGGGCAAGCGUUAUCCGGAUUUACUGGGUGUAAAGGGGGCGCAGACGGGGAUGCAAGACAGGAGUGAAAGCCCGGGGACCAACCCCGGGACUGCUCUGGAAACUGGGUGGCUUGAGUACAGGAGAGGCAAGCGGAAUUCCUAGUGUAGCGGUGAAAUGCAUAGAUAUUAGGAGGAACACCGGUGGCGAAGGCGGCUUACUGGACUGAAACUGACGCUGAGGCUCGAAAGCGUGGGGAGCAAACAGGAUUAGAUACCCCUGUAGUC
RNAcentral lists this ribosomal RNA (440 nucleotides) under uncultured bacterium. RNAcentral describes it as "partial 16S ribosomal RNA". It matches the Rfam family "Bacterial small subunit ribosomal RNA", at positions 338 to 795 of the family's 1533-position model. The record is from RNAcentral.